GACACGGAGCCGAAGCGAAAGCGAGUCUUAAUAGGGCGACUAGUAACAUGGUGUAGACCCGAAACCGCAGUGAUCUAUCCAUGGUCAGGUUGAAGCGCAGGUAAAAAUGCGUGGAGGACCGAACCCGUGAGUGUUGAAAAACUUUGGGAUGAACCGUGGAUAGGGGUGAAAUGCCAAUCGAACGCGGAGAUAGCUGGUACUCCCCGAAAUAGCUUUAGGGCUAGCCUCAGGGAAGAUUAUAGACGGUAGAGCACUGAUCUGGCAAGGGGGCGUAAAGCCUACCGACCCUAGUCAAACUUCGAAUGGCUAUAAUUAAGACCCUGGGAGUCAGACUGCGAGUGAUAAGACCCGUAGUCAAGAGGGAAACAGCCCAGACCGCCGACUAAGGUCCCCAAUGCUGUACUAAGUGGAAAAGGAUGUAAGACUUCAUAAACAACCAGGAUGUUGGCUUAGAAGCAGCCACCAUUAAAAGAGUGCGUAAUAGCUCACUGGUCGAGAGGCCUUGCGCCGAAGAUGUCCGGGGCUCAAGUACAGAACCGAAGUCGCGGCAGGAUUAUAUAAUUCUGGGUAGGGGAGCGUUGUAUAUCCGACUGAAGGUGUACCGGAAGGAGCGCUGGAGGAUAUACAAGAGAGAAUGCCGGUAUGAGUAGCGAAAAGAACAGUGAGAAUCUGUUCCACCGAAAGCCUAAGGUUUCCUGAGCAACGCUCGUCGACUCAGGGUAAGUCGGGACCUAAGCCGAGGCAAAAAGCAUAGGCGAUGGACAACAGGUUAAUAUUCCUGUACCGCUUCAAAUCGUUUGAGCAAUGGAGUGACACAGAAGGUAGCUUGAGCACGCGAAUGGAUGUGCGUGUCGAAGGUGGUAGGUUGCAGUAUAGGUAAAUCCGUACUGUAUAAGACCGAGAACUGAUAGAUAGACGAUACUUCGGUAAAGUCAAAUUCAAGUGAGCCAUGCUGUCGAGAAAAGCUUCUAGUGAGAGAUGAGGCGCCCGUACCGAAACCGACACAGGUAGGCGGGGAGAGAAUCCUAAGGUGCGCGGGACAACCCUCGUUAAGGAACUCGGCAAAUUGUAUCCGUAACUUAGGGAUAAGGAUAGCCGGAGGAUGUGAAGGGAUUUACUUCUGGAGCGUCAGCCGGUGGCACAAGAGAGGCCCAAGCGACUGUUUAGCACAAACACAGGUGCCUGCAAAAGAGAAAUCUGACGUAUAGGUGCUGACACCUGCCCGGUGCUGGAAGGUUAAGAGGAGGGCUUAGAGGAAACUCGAAGGCUUGAAUUGAAGCCCCAGUAAACGGCGGCCGUAACUAUAACGGUCCUAAGGUAGCGAAAUUCCUUGUCGGGU
RNAcentral lists this ribosomal RNA (1339 nucleotides) under human gut metagenome. Its description in RNAcentral is "bacterial LSU rRNA". It matches the Rfam family "Bacterial large subunit ribosomal RNA", at positions 657 to 1977 of the family's 2925-position model. The record is from RNAcentral.